This is a non-coding RNA of Candidatus Buchananbacteria bacterium, 193 nucleotides long. The record is from Rfam. Lineage: Bacteria; Candidatus Buchananiibacteriota.
AAAAUUAAAAAAAUUUUUAGUUUUCCGAAGUGAGGUGAGCCUCUCGAUUAAACUCGAGACGUAAUGCCUCCGCUGUCCCGCAACUGUAAUGCCGAAGGCAUUACCCCGAGUGAGGCCGCCUUAGGCGGCUGAAUCGAGGGGUGAAGGUCUAUCGGCUAAGCCAGGUCGAGAAAACUAAGAUUGCUUAUAACCG